RNAcentral lists this long non-coding RNA (962 nucleotides) under Olea europaea (common olive). RNAcentral's name for it is "long non-coding RNA (OEUR_LNC011763)". Lineage: Eukaryota; Viridiplantae; Streptophyta; Magnoliopsida; Lamiales; Oleaceae. The record is from RNAcentral.
UUGGGGGAUUGUGUAUCUCUCGAGCGAGUAAGGAUACGUUUGACCACUUGGGGUCGGGACUCAAAUUCAUCAUGAACCUAAUAUGUUGGCAUGAAUUCACACACACGUCAAGUACGCAUUUAACAGGUAAAGGUUGAUGUCAUUUUUGCACUGAUAAAUUUUCAUAAAAUCAAAUACUUAGUCCAAUCCUGAGCCACAGUAGGGUAUUAAGUCUUGUUUGUUCAGAAUUAAGUCACUAUCUUGUUUGAGGACAAAUAAUAGUUCAAGUUUGGGGGGUUUGAUAAGUGUGUUUUUGCACACUUAUCUAGGUCACAAACAUGACUUAAUUACGAGCAAAAUGAUUGAAUUGUGACUUAAUUUUGUUACAUUUGUGAAUUGUAGGGAACAUCGAUAAACAUGAUGAAAUUCAGGAGAAAAGACGCGAAAAAGGACUAAAAUGACUCAAAGUAAAAGUUUAGGGACCAAAGUGCAAUUAUCCAAAAGAUGGUCUGAAGGACAAAUCAAGGAAGUGAAUGAGCUAAGUACCAAUUUGGUGAUAUUAUGAGAUGAUGGAAAUAAAAGAAACAAGCAAAAAGGACCAAAAUGAAUCAAACUGUAAGUUCGGUGACCAAGUUGAAAAUAAUCCAUAGAUGAGACGGGAAAUGGAAUGAAGAUUCAAGAGUGUUAGAGGUCAAUUGGAUGAGGAAAGGAGUCAAGAGGUGAAAUAUGAUCGAAGUAUUAUCAAGUAUCAACUUUCAGUUGAAAAAGCUAUGCUCGUGAUUUUUAGUCUCUAUUUGAGAUCCAUUUUUGGCAUAGUAAACAUCCGAAUUUGAGGAAGCCUAUUUCUAUCAAAAGUGUAGAUCUUUGAGUUUUCUUCCCAAUUCACUUUGAAUCACUUCAAUCGAAGAUCAGGAGAAAAUAUUAUGACCAAAAUACUAAAAACUGUCCGGCAGAAAGAAUCGCAUAACUAUGCGGUCGCAUAG